GACGAACGCUGGCGGCGUGCUUAACACAUGCAAGUCGAACGGAAAGGCCCUGCUUUUGUGGGGUGCUCGAGUGGCGAACGGGUGAGUAACACGUGAGUAACCUGCCCUUGACUUUGGGAUAACUUCAGGAAACUGGGGCUAAUACCGGAUAGGAGCUCCUGCUGCAUGGUGGGGGUUGGAAAGUUUCGGCGGUUGGGGAUGGACUCGCGGCUUAUCAGCUUGUUGGUGGGGUAGUGGCUUACCAAGGCUUUGACGGGUAGCCGGCCUGAGAGGGUGACCGGCCACAUUGGGACUGAGAUACGGCCCAGACUCCUACGGGAGGCAGCAGUGGGGAAUAUUGCACAAUGGGCGGAAGCCUGAUGCAGCAACGCCGCGUGCGGGAUGACGGCCUUCGGGUUGUAAACCGCUUUCGCCUGUGACGAAGCGUGAGUGACGGUAAUGGGUAAAGAAGCACCGGCUAACUACGUGCCAGCAGCCGCGGUGAUACGUAGGGUGCGAGCGUUGUCCGGAUUUAUUGGGCGUAAAGGGCUCGUAGGUGGUUGAUCGCGUCGGAAGUGUAAUCUUGGGGCUUAACCCUGAGCGUGCUUUCGAUACGGGUUGACUUGAGGAAGGUAGGGGAGAAUGGAAUUCCUGGUGGAGCGGUGGAAUGCGCAGAUAUCAGGAGGAACACCAGUGGCGAAGGCGGUUCUCUGGGCCUUUCCUGACGCUGAGGAGCGAAAGCGUGGGGAGCGAACAGGCUUAGAUACCCUGGUAGUCCACGCUGUAAACGGUGGGUACUAGGCGUGGGGUCCAUUCCACGGGUUCCGUGCCGUAGCUAACGCUUUAAGUACCCCGCCUGGGGAGUACGGCCGCAAGGCUAAAACUCAAAGGAAUUGACGGGGCCCCGCACAAGCGGCGGAGCAUGCGGAUUAAUUCGAUGCAACGCGUAGAACCUUACCUGGGUUUGACAUGGAUCGGGAGUGCUCAGAGAUGGGUGUGCCUCUUUUGGGGUCGGUUCACAGGUGGUGCAUGGCUGUCGUCAGCUCGUGUCGUGAGAUGUUGGGUUAAGUCCCGCGACGAGCGCAACCCUUGUUCACUGUUGCCAGCACGUUAUGGUGGGGACUCAGUGGAGACCGCCGGGGUCAACUCGGAGGAAGGUGGGGAUGACGUCAAGUCAUCAUGCCCCUUAUGUCCAGGGCUUCACGCAUGCUACAAUGGCUGGUACAGAGAGUGGCGAGCCUGUGAGGGUGAGCGAAUCUCGGAAAGCCGGUCUCAGUUCGGAUUGGGGUCUGCAACUCGACCUCAUGAAGUCGGAGUCGCUAGUAAUCGCAGAUCAGCAACGCUGCGGUGAAUACGUUCCCGGGGCU
This 1346-nucleotide ribosomal RNA is filed under the name uncultured bacterium. RNAcentral describes it as "partial 16S ribosomal RNA". It matches the Rfam family "Bacterial small subunit ribosomal RNA", at positions 28 to 1381 of the family's 1533-position model. The record is from RNAcentral.